UCUAAGCUUCCUUCUAAUUAUAACAUUCUAUGCUCAAAGAUUCUUCUUUGGAUCAAAGGAUCAUUGGAUACUAAAGGGAAAGGACCUUAGAAACCAAUGGGUUCAACUUCCUCACUUUGUAGAUGAAGAAAUUUGGGGUUUAACAAGGUUACUUGGUCAAGGGCACUUCAAUUCCAACCCCAGCAUAAUUUCCAUUUUACUACAGUGCUUCUCAUCAACAAGCAUAGGGUGGAUAUUUCAUUAUUAUAUCUUUUAAAUGCCUAGACAUUGUACAACUGCCUUUAAAGAUACAGUAGAAGUGACUUUAUGGUUUUUUUUAGAUAAAACCAAAAAGUGUCAGAUAUGCAUUUGAAACAUAACUAGAGAAGGAAGUGAAAUGUUUUUGAUUUAGAAGAGCAAGCCUCAGAAGAGAAUAACUCUAAACAGUGUCUUCAUCUGUCUUCAUUUCUUACCUCUGCAAAAAAGUUUUUGAAAACAAAAGCAGAUGCAGUAUCCUGAAGUUUCUGAAAUUCUAAACCUGGAAAGGGUCGAGGGGAUCGUUAUAGGAGAAAGAGAGGGAAGAAGAGAGGGAGAAAAAAAAUUUGUUAUUGAUCACCAAGAUUUGUUUUCUUCUCUCUACAUAUGGGUCAAAAGAAUCAACCUCACAACAAAAGAUGGUGAAGGCAUAGCUAUGCAAAAAUUAAUCUUAAGAAGAUCUCAGCUUCUUGGAGGACAGUGGAUCAAGGAGUCAGCAAUGUGUCAUGACAAAAACAAGGGAAAAAAAGAAUAUAAUGCCAUUAUAGGAUUCAUUAAGAAAGAUAUAGCCUUUCCAUAGGAGGAAAGAGGUAUCAUGAGUUGCCAUAAAGCCAUUCUGCAAAGAGUUGGGUGACGGCAUGUCAGGAAGAAUUGGUCCUCCUAGGUAAGGCAACUGCCAUGUCAAAUGGCAAUGAAUAUCUGACUCCUCUAUAAAGUGGGGCAUAAUCCCUGUAACUCCUGAGAACCACUGGAGUAAUGCAAUUUCUAAAAUGCUUCUUCUUAAUAAAUUAGCAUUCUUUUUCUUGAGAACCA
RNAcentral lists this long non-coding RNA (1047 nucleotides) under Monodelphis domestica (gray short-tailed opossum). RNAcentral describes it as "lncRNA (ENSMODG00000034475.2)". Lineage: Eukaryota; Metazoa; Chordata; Mammalia; Didelphimorphia; Didelphidae. The record is from RNAcentral.